UGAGGCAGGAGAAUUGCUUGAACCCAGGAGGUGGAGGCUGCAGUGAGCUGAGAUCGCGCCACUGCACUCCAGCCUGGGUGACAGAGUGAGACUCCGUCUC
This 100-nucleotide microRNA precursor is filed under the name Nomascus leucogenys (northern white-cheeked gibbon). Its description in RNAcentral is "miRNA (ENSNLEG00000032532.1)". Lineage: Eukaryota; Metazoa; Chordata; Mammalia; Primates; Hylobatidae. The record is from RNAcentral.